Molecule: unclassified non-coding RNA, 183 nt
Filed under: uncultured Mycena
Lineage: Eukaryota; Fungi; Basidiomycota; Agaricomycetes; Agaricales; Tricholomataceae
Description: sequence contains ITS1
Source: RNAcentral
UUGAAUAACUUGGUGUUGAGCUGGCCCUAUUGGGCAUGUGCUUGCAUCAUAUUAUUUAUCUAUCUCUUGUGCACCUUUUGUAGUCUUUGAAGUGUUCGCAGUCAAUGCGGUUAUCAUAUCAACUUCAAACUACGUUUACUAGAAUGUAUACCGUCUUGUUGUAACGACAAGUACAAUCCAAUA